Molecule: long non-coding RNA, 4685 nt
Organism: Rhea pennata
Lineage: Eukaryota; Metazoa; Chordata; Aves; Rheiformes; Rheidae
Exons: 4
Source: RefSeq, a predicted model, not a curated record
CUCCUUGUCACCUCGCUGCUGCUGAUGCGCAGCCCCUCUGCCGAGCAGCGGCAGCCCAAGGUGCGGGGGGACGCCUGGCUCCCCUCCGUGUCCCUAAUGCUGUGCCCGGCUGCAGCUCUGUUGGUCGGAGAUUUGCUGAACGAAGAAGGAAAGAAAAAAAAAAAGCAAUUGUGCUUAACACAGAAUAAAUAAAGCAGAUCCUACCAUCCUUUCAUUGCAAGAGCAUGUGGAUCUCUUAGAGCUGUUAGUGGAGCCUAGCCAGACCAGCUGACUGGCAUAUGCAUCCCUUCUGCAUUAGAUUAUCAGUGGACAAACAUGGACAACUGUCUUGGGAACAAGGAUUCCAACAGCUCCAUGGAGAUGGCAUAUACUUACAAAGUGAUGUGACAAAAACAUCAUAAAGAAGUCUGCUUCCAGUCAGAUACAGAGAAAUUUCUGAUAUGUAGCCACCAGCCUCGUGAUGGAUCAGGAUCAUUUUCUGCUUGCAAACAGCAUGGAUGAGUACAUUUUGAGCCUACUUCUCUUCUUAAGAAUGUAUUUUCAGCUUGUUCAGUGUAAUGACUUCCCAGUCCUUGUCAUGCAAGAUAACAGAUAAUAGUAUUUUCAUUAAGAUAUUACUGAUUUUCCUUUAAGAGUACUGAAAAUUUUCUUUAUGAUCUUUUGAAGAAAACCCUAUGGAUUUUUGGUCAAAAGAAGAAACUUGAGAACUUUCAAAUCCACUUCCCAUUAGAAAAUUGAAUGAGUAUGAAAGCUCUAACCAUGAGGCUGCCUGCGGUGUGACUGAUUUUGGUCUAUGCACAUGAUAAUUGGCAGGAUGCGAAGCGCAAACUGAAUAGCCAGGGCAACAGGAGAGCUCGACCAUCCUUAUAGUGGGGAAUGCAGCUAGGAGGUGAGUGGGUAAAUGGAGUAAAUGGGAGGGUUUAUAGACUGUCUUGCCUUGAGACUCUUGGUUUCUGACUGUGGAGGAGUCAGUAGAUUUUUUUGUGGCACACAUCUCUGUCUAAUGAGGCUUUACCCUCAUAUCACCCCUUGGUAGAAAGAAAAAUGCACAAAUCCACAAGCACAGAGAGUUCUGGGUCUGACAGUGCUGGCCAACAGGAGCAACAGCCGGGGGGAACCACCAAGGGCGCAGUGGACGGGAGUGCGUGUGGUAGGUGUUCGGAAGUGAGGAACCUGACGAGGUCUCCGGCCUUCAGUGUCUGAUUUCCCAUUGAUCAUUACUGGAUAAAAUGAGCCUCUGCACCACAAAACAGCUGGCUCCAAUGCACUCAAUGCUGUUUUUAAAGGCUCAGCUCCUCACAACUUUCCUUCCUGCCAAACACAGCAAUAAUAACAAUAAGUAUUGUUAAUAAUAACAAUAAGCAGCUUUAGCUUAAUAUAAAGCUUUAAAAGCAUCUAAACUACAGCGAUGUGUUCCAGUAAUUUCAGAAGAUCUGCCUCGAAAAUGCAGCUUGCCAGUUUCUGGGUUCAGAUGCCUGACUUGUUUUCUCUGAAUUGCAUGUGAGAGAGAUACCAGGGUGCGUAUGCCGCCUCUCCUGCAUCCUGGAUCUGUGAGAGAAACGUACCCAAACGUUACGGGAGCCACGGAGCACCCUAGCAAGUCCCCCUAGUCUGCACGACUGGCACACUGAGACACAUCAUGGGAAACACCUGCCUGCCUGCUGGAUGUGGCUUGAUUCGCUGUAGCGUGGUUUUCCGAUCAGUCCUAAUCUUUUUUAGGCAGCAAUAAUUGCAUUAGUUCAGGUUAUGUCAUGUCUGAGGGUGCAGUUGUCUGAACUUGUUGCUGCAUUAUGCACCUUACUGGGCCAUCAGCUUGCUGACGCUCACAUCCCUCCUUCCUGGAAUAUAGAGAAAGACGGUUUAUAAAAUAGGUACGCUUUCAUUACUAAGCAAAAGACAACUAGGGACUGAGCUCAAGCACUGAAACCCAGUUUGUCCACACAGCUUAACCACUAGCUCAGAUCAGUUCCCGUUCUUUUUUGGCCAGCAGUAGAGGCACAGUCAAUUACUGUCUGCAGAGUUGCCUCUGACUAUUUUCAUUGGAGGUUAGGAAAAAUCUCUUUUUUUCUGUUUUUGUCAUUAUUCUGUAUGUACUCUGGCUGUAAAAUCUGGCCCGAUUCACUUUUGUUCAAUCUUCUAUAUUGUGCCUGCAGCUAUUUUUACAGGUUUAUACUCAAUUUCUAUAUCAUACAUAAGUAACUGAAAAAAAUCCUCUUUGUAUUCUUGGAGAUAUUCUCCAUGUCUUUUUUAACUUCCCUAUCAAUCAGUUUCAUUUAUCUGUGGACUUCCAAGACAAAAUCACAAAAAUAUAUAGAAUAUAAGACCAUAAGCCAAAUUAUUCCUUCUUUUGAGCACCAAGUUUUUGUUAGGACAUGCAUGAGCCACUGAGUGCCACUUUUGCCUAUCCUGCUAUUUGAGGACUACACCGAAUCACUCCCAGUGAAGAUACCUAUGGACAACGUAGGAGUGAGGCUCUUGUAUUAAAUUUUGUUACUUUCCCAAAGUCUGUUUUAAGUUUUGUGUCUCAUUCCCAACUUCACAUGGUAAUGGGCUCAGGCUAUGAGCUUAUUUCAAGAAAUCUUUGAAUCCGUUCCUCAUCAGCCAAGUAGACCAUGGUGGCUUUGACCUUACUGUGGUUCAUUUUCUUUCCUCCAAGUGUUAUUCCUAUAUGAAAUAAUUUCUAUUUUGUUUAUUAUGGUAUGUUUAUUUUCCUUUGCAUAGCAUCUCUGGCUCUUUCUGAAACUGCUCAGAUUCUUUGGUUAUGUUCCUCAAUUAUAUUUCUUUAGAUAAAAAAUGCCAUUUACAUAGACUUUAGCACUCUCCUUACCACCAAAAUGUUUGCUCUAUUUUCCUUGAAAAAAAUUUGUUACAAAAUACAAGCAGAUGAUGGUUUAUUUUUCCAAAAGAAAAUAACAAUACAGAGAAACAUGCUGUUGUGUCUCUAAGAGCAGAAAGUUAUUUCACAUCAACCAUAUGUCUAAAAAAUUCACUUUGGAGAGAGCAUAUUCUCUCUCUUUUUUUUUUUAACAUGUAUUUAUUAUUCUGUGUCUCUACAAGUGAAUGUGUCUCUAAUUUCUUUCCAUGGUGGUGCUUUUUUGGUUUGUCUACUUAUUGUGUGAUUUCUAAAGAGAAUCUUCACUGUUCUAGCAGAGAAGGAACUCUCCCAGUGUCUAGUCUGCAAACUCAGAUUUGAUUAUAUGCAGUAGGGAUUUCACUUUAUUUUUGACACCAGAUUGGUGGGAGCUUUCUCCAGUAGCAUAACAAAUGGUCUUGCUUUCCACAUGUAUGAUUUGCAUUUAUUGUAUAAUUCUCUCAAUGGGUAUAAAUCCCCCCUUGUAAGAUGCCUGAAUUGUAGCCAUUCUAUUUCUUCAGCUUGGACUUUUCCUUGGAAUUUUCUUCAUCAUUGUCUCUGACUUCAUAUUAGCCUGUGCAUCUGUGUCCAGCUACAAUUCAUGCUAUUUUGUUUGCUUUCAUGAACUAUUCAUAUUCUGCUGCAACAUGAGUGAAUGGUCAUUUAGGCUAAUACUGCUGUUGCCUUCUUGUCAAUGCAAUGAAUGUCCUGUUGGCAUUUGUACAGUGUUGCAAAAUAAUCCAAUUCUUGCAUUUUCCUUAAGCACUAGAAAUUUUCUUGGCUUAUUGGCCAGCAUGUGUUUAGCAUCUUAUGUUUUUUUUGUAGACUAUGAUCUGAUGUGAAUGCACAGGGUUUGAUUCUCUCCACCCUUCAUACUUCCUCACACUACACCAGGUGGCUUUGCACCUUCAGGUGUGUCCACAUAUGCCUUGAAAGCAUACUUCUGGCAUACAUUAUAUCUCUUGAAUUCACUGCUAUAAGAGCACCACUUUGGUGGGCUGUAACAUAACCCUCAUAUUAAGCCAAAGAUCUUAAACAGAAGAAAACUCCACAAAAAUAGCACUUGUGUUUUAGAGCCAUAGGGACACUCAGGGGGGCAGGAGUAACGUAGGGCUGUGUGACAAGCUAAAGUCGAAAAGUGGGUGUAUAAGCUACUUGUGGUAUUCACACUAUGUUGCACUAGACACUUCGGACUAAUACAUUUAACAGUGUAGCUUAUUUAACAUCCUAUGAGCUGAUGGAGUUUUUGAAGCGUUUGAGUUCAGCUGCCUGGCAAUCCACCUGGUAGCCUAUCGGCAGGGUAAGCAAAGUGACAGGAAACCAAACAAACAGCUUCUGGAUGGAAACUUUGAGAAUUGGCUGAUUCUGAAGCCCAGGCCUGCACCUUCACGACUUCAGCAACUUCUCUUCAUUUCUGAGAAGUAUUUCACUUUUGGGUAAUCUCCUUUCUUCAUCCAAAAAAGUUCCACUGGAAAACUUCUAACAAGCUUUAAUCCUAUGAAUGGCUAUAAUUCCAAAGAGGCCUACAUGUAGGCCAGAUUUUUAAUGCUAGGUUUUCUAAAACUAUCAAGUAAAAUGUCAUUUCUGUACCACAGAGAUAGCAAUAGAGUAUAGACAUGAGAUUGAAACAGACAAACUAAAAAGAAGAUUAAAAAAAGUCAUAUAAUAUUAGUUAUGUUAAACUGUGUUCCCAAUCUACCAGAGAGCUAGCUGUCUUUUUUUUUGGGACAUAUUUCGGAUUAAAUUUCUUGCCUUUUCAUUUUGAAGUGAUAUUUUAAUUUAAAAUGAUGACUUCAAUGAAAAUAAAAUCAGGAAAAAGAGAAAAAAAAAGAGG